Molecule: ribosomal RNA, 470 nt
Filed under: uncultured bacterium
Lineage: Bacteria
Description: partial 16S ribosomal RNA
Rfam family: Bacterial small subunit ribosomal RNA
Source: RNAcentral
GACGAACGCUGGCGGCGUGCUUAACACAUGCAAGUCGAACGCUGAAGCACCAGCUUGCUGGUGUGGAUGAGUGGCGAACGGGUGAGUAAUACGUGAGUAACCUGCCCUUGACUCUGGGAUAAGCCCGGGAAACUGGGUCUAAUACUGGAUGCUACAUGUCACCGCAUGGUGGUGUGUGGAAAGGGUUUACUGGUCUUGGAUGGGCUCACGGCCUAUCAGCUUGUUGGUGAGGUAAUGGCUCACCAAGGCGACGACGGGUAGCCGGCCUGAGAGGGUGACCGGCCACACUGGGACUGAGACACGGCCCAGACUCCUAAGGGAGGCAGCAGUGGGGAAUAUUGCACAAUGGGCGAAAGCCUGAUGCAGCGACGCCGCGGGGGGGAUGACGGCCUUCGGGUUGUAAACCUCUUUCAGCAGGGAAGAAGCCACGAGUGACGGUACCUGCAGAAGAAGCGCCGGCUAACUACGUG